This 475-nucleotide ribosomal RNA is filed under the name uncultured bacterium. Its description in RNAcentral is "bacterial SSU rRNA". It matches the Rfam family "Bacterial small subunit ribosomal RNA", at positions 17 to 518 of the family's 1533-position model. The record is from RNAcentral.
UUCUGGCUCAGGAUUAACGCUGGCGGCGUGCCUAAUACAUGCAAGUCGAAUGGUUAGCUUGCUAACCAUGGCGAACGGGUGAGUAACACGUAGGCAACCUGUCUAAGAGACGAGGAUAACCAUUGGAAACGAUGGAUAAUACUGGAUAAGAUAUUGGGAGGCAUCUUCUGAUAUUUAAAGAUUUAUCGCUAAUAGAGGGGCCUGCGGCGCAUUAGCUAGUUGGUGAGGUAACGGCCCACCAAGGCGAUGAUGCGUAGCCGGACUGAGAGGUUGAACGGCCACAAUGGGACUGAGAACGGCCCAUACUCCUACGGGAGGCAGCAGUAGGGAAUUUUCGGCAAUGGACGAAAGUCUGACCGAGCAACGCCGCGUGAACGAAGAAGUAUUUCGGUAUGUAAAGUUCUUUUAUUUGGGAAGAAAAUACAUUGACUGUACCAAAUGAAUAAGCUCCGGCUAACUACGUGCCAGCAGCGGC